This 468-nucleotide ribosomal RNA is filed under the name uncultured bacterium. RNAcentral's name for it is "partial 16S ribosomal RNA". It matches the Rfam family "Bacterial small subunit ribosomal RNA", at positions 28 to 507 of the family's 1533-position model. The record is from RNAcentral.
GACGAACGCUGGCGGCGUGCUUAACACAUGCAAGUCGAACGGAAAGGCCCUGCUUUUGUGGGGUGCUCGAGUGGCGAACGGGUGAGUAACACGUGAGUAACCUGCCCUUGACUUUGGGAUAACUUCAGGAAACUGGGGCUAAUACCGGGUAGGAGCUCCUGCUGCAUGGUGGGGGUUGGAAAGUUUCGGCGGUUGGGGAUGGACUCGCGGCUUAUCAGCUUGUUGGUGGGGUAGUGGCUUACCAAGGCUUUGACGGGUAGCCGGCCUGAGAGGGUGUCCGGCCACAUUGGGACUGAGAUACGGCCCAGACUCGUACGGGAGGCAGCAGUGGGGAAUAUUGCACAAUGGGCGGAAGCCUGAUGCAGCAACGCCGCGUGCGGGAUGACGGCCUUCGGGUUGUAAACCGCUUUCGCCUGUGACGAAGCGUGAGUGACGGUAAUGGGUAAAGAAGCACCGGCUAACUACGUG